This 400-nucleotide ribosomal RNA is filed under the name uncultured bacterium. RNAcentral's name for it is "bacterial SSU rRNA". It matches the Rfam family "Bacterial small subunit ribosomal RNA", at positions 355 to 772 of the family's 1533-position model. The record is from RNAcentral.
GGGGGAAUAUUGGACAAUGGGCGCAAGCCUGAUCCAGCCAUGCCGCGUGAGUGAUGACGGCCUUCGGGUUGUAAAGCUCUUUUGUCCGGGAAGAUAAUGACUGUACCGGAAGAAUAAGCCCCGGCAAACUUCGUGCCAGCAGCCGCGGUAAUACGAAGGGGGCUAGCGUUGUUCGGAUUUACUGGGCGUAAAGCGCACGUAGGCGGCUUGUUAAGUCAGAGGUGAAAGCCUGGAGCUCAACUCCAGAACUGCCUUUGAUACUGGCAAGCUCGAGUAUGGAAGAGGUUGGUGGAACUCCGAGUGUGGAGGUGAAAUUCGUAGAUAUUCGGAAGAACACCAGUGGCGAAGGCGGCCAACUGGUCCAUUACUGACGCUGAGGUGCGAAAGCGUGGGGAGCAAA